CAGUCGACAAUGUUUUCCUACGUGUCGGGAGAGUACGGUCGACGCCUCAACAAAAACAACAACAAAAAAUUGUAAAUAAAAUAAAAACACCUGAUAAUACUGCAUAAGGGUGCUGAGAUCACUGCCUUUAAGAGAAUGACAGCAGAGGUGCAAUCUGGAAUACUGACAUCAACCUGGACACAAGCAAGGACUUUUUACAAUGACCCACAUGCAGGACUGGCCGAUUUCUGGAAGGCUGUGUCUUGGUAGCCACUUGCUGGUUGAGGUGAAACUGCGGAGGCCUGGACUGGAACGACCCUCGAUAACCACAGGUGAGUAGAGCAUUUAU
This is a long non-coding RNA of Acipenser ruthenus (sterlet), 328 nucleotides long. RefSeq lists it as uncharacterized. Lineage: Eukaryota; Metazoa; Chordata; Actinopteri; Acipenseriformes; Acipenseridae. The record is from RefSeq and is a predicted model, not a curated record. The transcript is spliced from 3 exons.